UACGAAGGGGGCUAGCGUUGCUCGGAAUCACUGGGCGUAAAGGGUGCGUAGGCGGGUCUUUAAGUCAGGGGUGAAAUCCUGGAGCUCAACUCCAGAACUGCCUUUGAUACUGAAGAUCUUGAGUUCGGGAGAGGUGAGUGGAACUGCGAGUGUAGAGGUGAAAUUCGUAGAUAUUAGGAAGAACACCAGUGGCGAAGGCGGCUCACUGGCUCGGUACUGACGCUGAGGCGCGAAAGCGUGGGGAGCAAACAGG
Molecule: ribosomal RNA, 253 nt
Filed under: uncultured bacterium
Lineage: Bacteria
Description: partial 16S ribosomal RNA
Rfam family: Bacterial small subunit ribosomal RNA
Source: RNAcentral